GGACGGGUGAGUAACACGUGGGUAACCUGCCUGUAAGACUGGGAUAACUCCGGGAAACCGGGGCUAAUACCGGAUGCUUAUUUGAACCGCAUGGUUCAAAUAUAAAAGGUGGCUUCGGCUACCACUUACAGAUGGACCCGCGGCGCAUUAGCUAGUUGGUGAGGUAACGGCUCACCAAGGCAACGAUGCGUAGCCGACCUGAGAGGGUGAUCGGCCACACUGGGACUGAGACACGGCCCAGACUCCUACGGGAGGCAGCAGUAGGGAAUCUUCCGCAAUGGACGAAAGUCUGACGGAGCAACGCCGCGUGAGUGAUGAAGGUUUUCGGAUCGUAAAGCUCUGUUGUUAGGGAAGAACAAGUACCGUUCGAAUAGGGCGGUACCUUGACGGUACCUAACCAGAAAGCCACGGCUAACUACGUGCCAGCAGCCGCGGUAAUACGUAGGUGGCAAGCGUUGUCCGGAAUUAUUGGGCGUAAAGGGCUCGCAGGCGGUUUCUUAAGUCUGAUGUGAAAGCCCCCGGCUCAACCGGGGAGGGUCAUUGGAAACUGGGGAACUUGAGUGCAGAAGAGGAGAGUGGAAUUCCACGUGUAGCGGUGAAAUGCGUAGAGAUGUGGAGGAACACCAGUGGCGAAGGCGACUCUCUGGUCUGUAACUGACGCUGAGGAGCGAAAGCGUGGGGAGCGAACAGGAUUAGAUACCCUGGUAUCCACGCCGUAACGAUGAGUGCUAAGUGUUAGGGGGUUUCCGCCCCUUAGUGCUGCGCUAACGC
RNAcentral lists this ribosomal RNA (771 nucleotides) under Bacillus inaquosorum. RNAcentral describes it as "bacterial SSU rRNA". It matches the Rfam family "Bacterial small subunit ribosomal RNA", at positions 100 to 858 of the family's 1533-position model. The record is from RNAcentral. Lineage: Bacteria; Bacillati; Bacillota; Bacilli; Caryophanales; Bacillaceae.